UCCUACGGGAGGCAGCAGUGGGGAAUUUUCCGCAAUGGGCGAAAGCCUGGCGGAGCAACGCCGCGUGAGGGAUGAAGGCCUCUGGGCUGUAAACCUCUUUUCUCAAGGAAGAAGAUCUGACGGUACUUGAGGAAUAAGCCACGGCUAAUUCCGUGCCAGCAGCCGCGGUAAUACGGGAGUGGCAAGCGUUAUCCGGAAUUAUUGGGCGUAAAGCGUCCGUAGGCGGCUUUUCAAGUCUGCUGUUAAAACGUGGAGCUUAACUCCAUCAAGGCAGUGGAAACUGAUUGGCUUGAGUGUGGUAGGGGCAGAGGGAAUUCCCGGUGUAGCGGUGAAAUGCGUAGAUAUCGGGAAGAACACCAGUGGCGAAGGCGCUCUGCUGGGCCAUAACUGACGCUCAUGGACGAAAGCCAGGGGAGCGAAAGGGAUUAGAUACCCCUGUAGUCCUGGCCGUAAACGAUGAACACUAGGUGUCGGGGGAAUCGACCCCCUCGGUGUCGUAGCCAACGCGUUAAGUGUUCCGCCUGGGGAGUACGCACGCAAGUGUGAAACUCAAAGGAAUUGACGG
RNAcentral lists this ribosomal RNA (565 nucleotides) under uncultured bacterium. RNAcentral describes it as "bacterial SSU rRNA". It matches the Rfam family "Bacterial small subunit ribosomal RNA", at positions 337 to 916 of the family's 1533-position model. The record is from RNAcentral.